GGGGAUGAUCGGUUUCGACGGUGACCUGUUCGUCGCAGGGAAGCGUGCCGAGAACGUAGGGUCCGCUCGUGGAUGCCCCCUACAAAAGAAUAAGUGCUAAAUCUAACCGCACUGAGUUCGCUCUCGCUGCCUGAGCUUCGCGCCAGGAUUAACCAGUGAGCAGCCGCUCCGUUCACUCCUUCUCUAGAAGACUGAGGGUUCGGUUAUCGGACCGGGGUUCAAUUCCCCGCAUCUCCACGG
This 240-nucleotide transfer-messenger RNA is filed under the name Bifidobacterium pseudocatenulatum. It matches the Rfam family "transfer-messenger RNA". Rfam says of the family: Bacterial tmRNA, also known as 10Sa RNA or SsrA, is named for its dual tRNA and mRNA-like properties. The record is from RNAcentral. Lineage: Bacteria; Bacillati; Actinomycetota; Actinomycetes; Bifidobacteriales; Bifidobacteriaceae.